This 301-nucleotide ribosomal RNA is filed under the name uncultured bacterium. Its description in RNAcentral is "partial 16S ribosomal RNA". It matches the Rfam family "Bacterial small subunit ribosomal RNA", at positions 509 to 807 of the family's 1533-position model. The record is from RNAcentral.
CAGCAGCCGCGGGAAAACGUAGGGUGCGAGCGUUAAUCGGAAUUACUGGGCGUAAAGCGUGCGCAGGCGGUUUUGUAAGACAGGCGUGAGAUCCCCGGGCUCAACCUGGGAAUGGCGCUUGUGACUGCAAAGCUAGAGUGCGGCAGAGGGGGAUGGAAUUCCGCGUGUAGCAGUGAAAUGCGUAGAUAUGCGGAGGAACACCGAUGGCGAAGGCAAUCCCCUGGGCCUGCACUGACGCUCAUGCACGAAAGCGUGGGGAGCAAACAGGAUUAGAUACCCCCGUAGUCCCUGUCUCUUAUAC